Non-coding RNA from Paramuricea clavata, 596 nucleotides. The record is from the annotation of a GenBank genome assembly. NCBI's taxonomy places the organism in Eukaryota, Metazoa, Cnidaria, Anthozoa, Malacalcyonacea, Plexauridae.
GUUCGCUCUCUCUGCUGGUAGAGUUCAACAUGUGUACCACCAUACAUUGCUAAGUUAAGGGGGCUUUGUGUUGUUUUUCAGAGAAAAACCCAAAUUGAUAGUAUUUAAACUGUAAAGUAGCUUGUUUACUAAACAGGCGCCAAAGCCUAAAUUCUGCAAAAAGUGUAUUCGUUUAACAUGACGCACCCUUUGCUAUGUAUGCCUUAAAUGUUUCCAGAGUUUGGUGUAAUUGGACUUAGUGGUUCAUUGAUUACCGGGUGGUUUAGGGUGACGUCUUAUUGUUUACUGGUCUCACACAUUUUUAUGGGAUUUUAACCUGUUUUCAGAAUAAAAUUUUAGUUCUAUUCAAGCUACAGCAGUACAACAUAAAGCAAACGACUUGUGUAAGUUCGCUCGCUUCCCUGGUGGAGUUCAACAUGUGUACUACCAUACAUUGCUAAGUUAAGGGGGCUUUGUGUUGUUUUUCAGAGAAAAACACCAAAUUGAUAGUAUUUAAACUGUAAAAUCCCAUAGAUUUUAACCGGUUUUCAGAAUGUUAUUUUACUUCUAUUUAAGCUACACCAGUAUACAACAUAGAGCAAACGACUUGUCUAUGU